This 380-nucleotide unclassified non-coding RNA is filed under the name uncultured Gammaproteobacteria bacterium. RNAcentral describes it as "contains 16S-23S intergenic spacer region". Lineage: Bacteria; Pseudomonadati; Pseudomonadota; Gammaproteobacteria. The record is from RNAcentral.
UCCUGGUUAUCCCAGGCGGUUUCGCUAGAGUGCCCGGCUUGACCCGCUGGCAACUAACGAUAAGGGUUGCGCUCGUUGCGGGACUUAACCCAACAUCUCACGACACGAGCUGACGACAGCCAUGCAGCACCUGUGGUCCGAUUCCCUUUCGGGCACACCCACCUCUCAGCAGGCUCUCGGACAUGUCAAGGGUAGGUAAGGUUGUUCGCGUUGCAUCGAAUUAAUCCACAUCAUCCACCGCUUGUGCGGGUCCCCGUCAAUUCCUUUGAGUUUUAACCUUGCGGCCGUACUCCCCAGGCGGUCAACUUCACGCGUUAGCUGCGCCACCAAAAGCCCAUGGCCCCUGACAGCUAGUUAUCAUCGUUUACGGCGUGGACUAC